This 69-nucleotide transfer RNA is filed under the name Mesorhizobium sp. RNAcentral's name for it is "tRNA-Arg". The stretch from base 8 to 63 matches the Rfam family "tRNA", at positions 9 to 63 of the family's 71-position model. Rfam says of the family: Transfer RNA (tRNA) molecules are approximately 80 nucleotides in length. Their secondary structure includes four short double-helical elements and three loops (D, anti-codon, and T loops). Lineage: Bacteria; Pseudomonadati; Pseudomonadota; Alphaproteobacteria; Hyphomicrobiales; Phyllobacteriaceae. The record is from RNAcentral.
GCCCAUAAGCUCAGCUGGAUAGAGCACCAGACUCCGAAUUUGGUGUCAGGAGUUCGAUCUCUUCGGGCC